GCAAGUCGAACGGCAGCGCGGGAGCUUGCUCCUGGCGGCGAGUGGCGGACGGGUGAGGAACACGUAGGAAUCUGCCUUAGAGUGGGGAACAACUCGGGGAAACUCGAGCUAAUACCGCAUAUGCCCUACGGGGUAAAGGUCGCUUGCGAUCGCUCUAAGAUGAGCCUGCGUCCGAUUAGCUAGUUGGUAGGGUAAAGGCCUACCAAGGCGACGAUCGGUAGCUGGUCUGAGAGGAUGAUC
RNAcentral lists this ribosomal RNA (240 nucleotides) under uncultured bacterium. Its description in RNAcentral is "partial 16S ribosomal RNA". It matches the Rfam family "Bacterial small subunit ribosomal RNA", at positions 57 to 305 of the family's 1533-position model. The record is from RNAcentral.